GACGAACGCUGGCGGCGUGCUUAACACAUGCAAGUCGAACGGAAAGGCCCUGCUUUUGUGGGGUGCUCGAGUGGCGAACGGGUGAGUAACACGUGAGUAACCUGCCCUUGACUUUGGGAUAACUUCAGGAAACUGGGGCUAAUACCGGAUAGGAGCUCCUGCUGCAUGGUGGGGGUUGGAAAGUUUCGGCGGUUGGGGAUGGACUCGCGGCUUAUCAGCUUGUUGGUGGGGUAGUGGCUUACCAAGGCUUUGACGGGUAGCCGGCCUGAGAGGGUGACCGGCCACAUUGGGACUGAGAUACGGCCCAGACUCCUACGUGAGGCAGCAGUGGGGAAUAUUGCACAAUGGGCGGAAGCCUGAUGCAGCAACGCCGCGUGCGGGAUGACGGCCUUCGGGUUGUAAACCGCUUUCGCCUGUGACGAAGCGUGAGUGACGGUAAUGGGUAAAGAAGCACCGGCUAACUACGUGCCAGCAGCCGCGGUGAUACGUAGGGUGCGAGCGUUGUCCGGAUUUAUUGGGCGUAAAGGGCUCGUAGGUGGUUGAUCGCGUCGGAAGUGUAAUCUUGGGGCUUAACCCUGAGCGUGCUUUCGAUACGGGUUGACUUGAGGAAGGUAGGGGAGAAUGGAAUUCCUGGUGGAGCGGUGGAAUGCGCAGAUAUCAGGAGGAACACCAGUGGCGAAGGCGGUUCUCUGGGCCUUUCCUGACGCUGAGGAGCGAAAGCGUGGGGAGCGAACAGGCUUAGAUACCCUGGUAGUCCACGCUGUAAACGGUGGGUACUAGGUGUGGGGUCCAUUCCACGGGUUCCGUGCCGUAGCUAACGCUUUAAGUACCCCGCCUGGGGAGUACGGCCGCAAGGCUAAAACUCAAAGGAAUUGACGGGGCCCCGCACAAGCGGCGGAGCAUGCGGAUUAAUUCGAUGCAACGCGUAGAACCUUACCUGGGUUUGACAUGGAUCGGGAGCGCUCAGAGAUGGGUGUGCCUCUUUUGGGGUCGGUUCACAGGUGGUGCAUGGCUGUCGUCAGCUCGUGUCGUGAGAUGUUGGGUUAAGUCCCGCAACGAGCGCAACCCUUGUUCACUGUUGCCAGCACGUUAUGGUGGGGACUCAGUGGAGACCGCCGGGGUCAACUCGGAGGAAGGUGGGGAUGACGUCAAGUCAUCAUGCCCCUUAUGUCCAGGGCUUCACGCAUGCUACAAUGGCUGGUACAGAGAGUGGCGAGCCUGUGAGGGUGAGCGAAUCUCGGAAAGCCGGUCUCAGUUCGGAUUGGGGUCUGCAACUCGACCUCAUGAAGUCGGAGUCGCUAGUAAUCGCAGAUCAGCAACGCUGCGGUGAAUACGUUCCCGGGGCU
Molecule: ribosomal RNA, 1346 nt
Filed under: uncultured bacterium
Lineage: Bacteria
Description: bacterial SSU rRNA
Rfam family: Bacterial small subunit ribosomal RNA
Source: RNAcentral